AACGAACGCUGGCGGCAUGCCUAACACAUGCAAGUCGAACGAUUGCCUUCGGGUGAUAGUGGCGCACGGGUGCGUAACGCGUGGGAAUCUGCCCUUAGGUUCGGAAUAACAGCUGGAAACGGCUGCUAAUACCGGAUGAUAUCGCGAGAUCAAAGAUUUAUCGCCUGAGGAUGAGCCCGCGUUGGAUUAGGUAGUUGGUGGGGUAAAGGCCUACCAAGCCGACGAUCCAUAGCUGGUCUGAGAGGAGGAUCAGCCACACGGGGACUGAGACACGGCCCAGACUCCUACGGGAGGCAGCAGUGUGGAAUAUUGGACAAUGGGCGCAAGCCUGAUCCAGCAAUGCCGCGUGAGUGAUGAAGGCCCUAGGGUUGUAAAGCUCUUUUACCCGGGAAGAUAAUGACUGUACCGGGAGAAUAAGCCCCGGCUAACUCCGUG
RNAcentral lists this ribosomal RNA (435 nucleotides) under uncultured bacterium. Its description in RNAcentral is "partial 16S ribosomal RNA". It matches the Rfam family "Bacterial small subunit ribosomal RNA", at positions 29 to 507 of the family's 1533-position model. The record is from RNAcentral.